RNAcentral lists this ribosomal RNA (888 nucleotides) under uncultured Methanolobus sp. RNAcentral's name for it is "bacterial SSU rRNA". It matches the Rfam family "Archaeal small subunit ribosomal RNA", at positions 18 to 907 of the family's 1478-position model. Lineage: Archaea; Methanobacteriati; Methanobacteriota; Methanomicrobia; Methanosarcinales; Methanosarcinaceae. The record is from RNAcentral.
CAGAGGUCACUGCURKSRGUGUGUCGACUAAGCCAUGCGAGUCAAAUGUUCUUCGUGAACAUGGCGUACUGCUCAGUAACACGUGGACAACCUGCCCUAAGGUCUGGCAUAACUCCGGGAAACUGGGGAUAAUUCCAGAUAAACCAUGGAUACUGGAAUGUACUGUGAUUAAAAGCUCCGGCGCCUUAGGAUGGAUCUGCGGCCUAUCAGGUAGUAGUGGGUGUAAUGUACCUACUAGCCUACGACGGGUACGGGUUGUGAGAGCAAGAGCCCGGAGAUGGAUUCUGAGACAUGAAUCCAGGCCCUACGGGGCGCAGCAGGCGCGAAAACUUUACAAUGCGGGAAACCGCGAUAAGGGGACACUGAGUGCCAGCACCAUGUGCUGGCUGUCCGCAUGUAUAAAUCACAUGUGUCAGCAAGGGCCGGGCAAGACCGGUGCCAGCCGCCGCGGUAACACCGGCGGCCCGAGUGGUGGCCAUUAUUAUUGGGUCUAAAGGGUCCGUAGCCGGUUUGAUCAGUCUUCCGGGAAAUCUGACAGCUCAACUGUUAGGCUUCUGGGGGAUACUGUCAGACUUGGAACCGGGAGAGGUAAGAGGUACUACAGGGGUAGGAGUGAAAUCUUGUAAUCCUUGUGGGACCACCAGUGGCGAAGGCGUCUUACCAGAACGGGUUCGACGGUGAGGGACGAAAGCUGGGGGCACGAACCGGAUUAGAUACCCGGGUAGUCCCAGCCGUAAACGAUGCUCGCUAGGUGUCUGGGAUGGUGCGACCGUUUCASGUGCCGCAGGGAAGCCGUGAAGCGAGCCACCUGGGAAGUACGGCCGCAAGGCUGAAACUUAAAGGAAUUGGCGGGGSAGCACUACAACGGGUGGAGCCUGCGGUUUAUUG